AUGCUUUUUGCUGAUGACUUGUUGGUUUGUGGUAACGCCACAGUUCAGGAAGCUACCCAAAUGGCUCAUCUCAUCAACCACUUCUGUUCCCAAUCAGGUCAGACUCCAAAUUGGCACAAAUCUUCUAUUCUUUUUAGUGCUACUGUCUCCCAGUCUCUAGCCCAACAUAUCAAUAAUAUUUUCCCAGUUACCCUUAUUGAUAGUACAUCAACUCACCUUGGCCACCCUCUCAUCCUUCCUGCAAAGGACCGUGCUUCGGCUUACAACUUUGUUUAUGAUAAAUUCAAGAAUAAGCUUCCCACUUACAAAGCUGAUAAAUUAUCCCAUGCUGCUAGACUUGAGCUUAUCAAUUCGGUGUUCGCUUCCAUACCUGUUUACUAUAUGUCCAAUAUCCUCUUUCCAAAAAAAUUCCUUGCGAAGCUCACGGCAAUCAUUCGUAAUUUUUGGUGGGUUGGUGUUAGAGAGGAAGCUAGUGCAAGAGCUUUAUGUCUUAGGGCUUGGAAAGAUAUUUGUACUCCUAAAAAAGAAGGUGGAUUGGGAAUCAAAAACAUGUUGGCUAUGAAUCAAGGUCUCCUUGCGGCUGCCUGGAGACUUGCUGAAAAUCCAGAAAGCCAAGUCUAUCAAGUUCUCCGUGCUAAGUAUUUUCCUGAUUCUUCCAUUUGGAGAGCUACUCCAAAUACUCCGAAAUCUGCUUUCUGGACUUCUAUUCUCAAGGUCUUGCCGAUGCUCAAGGAGCAUUCUUUUUAUCAGAUCACCCAAGGCAACAUUUCUAUUUGGAGCUCACCUUGGUGUACCACUUGGGAGAACAUAUAUGAUCACCUUAUUGUCCAGCAUAGUGCUUUUAUUUACCCGGCUAAGGUCUCUGAUCUUUGGCUUCCAGGCCAAAAACUUUGGAAUUCUGAGUUCAUUACUAACCUCUUUCAGGAACCGACUGCUUCGGCUAUUAUUGCAACUCCUAUAGUUCUUGAUGAUAGUAGGGAUAUCCUUUGUUGGAAGCCCACUCCUUCUGGUAAGUGCAAUUCUAAGAGUACAUAUAAGUUGUGUUUACAACAAAUUCAUAAUUUGCAGGUAAAUCAACCAAGACAGGUGAACCAAUCAACCAAAGAUAUUUUGCAGCAGGUCUGGAAGCACAAAUUCAUGGCUCCAAGGGUUAAAACUUUUGCGUGGCGCUUACUUAGGCAUGCUCUCCCAACUGGUCUUAGAGCUGGCAGGUUUUCCUCUCAUAUUUCUUCUACAUGCUCUAGAUGUGAUUCAGAUGAAGAUGAAAUGCAUCUUUUCUUUCUUUGCAACUUUUCUAGAGCCUCUUGGUUCGGACACCCCUGGUAUAUUAGAUCUGAUAUUCUUGCUUUCAAUCAUAAUUCUGUUCUUGAUAUUAUUCAGGUUCUAAUUAACAUGAACCAUCCGCAAUCAUCUAUUCCUAAUAUAUUUACCUUCUUGUGGUGUUUGUGGAAAGCAAGAAACGAUGUUCUUUUUUGUAGGAAAGAAUCACAUCCCCAUCAGGUUCACCAAGCUGCUCUAGCCAUCGCCUCUGUCCAAGAUAUACAAGAUCCUCAAGAACACCUAAAUAGGGAGCUGCCUUCAUCGGAGGAGAAGCAAUCUACAACCAUACUCUCUCAAGGGCAAGAACAAGUACAGCAAGGCUCCACCCUCAAAUCUGACUUGGCUAUUUCAGGUACCAAAAUAUAUUCAGACGCUUCUUGGCAUAAGAAGAAUGUGCCUGGGUAUGGUGGUAAUCCGGCUACUGGUAUUGGUGUUCACAUCCUUUUCCCUGAAGAGGGUUCUGAUUCAAGAAUAAUGAUUCAAGCCUCUACUCAUGAUGUUUGUUCACCUCUUAUUGCUGAAGUUUAUGCACUUCUAUUUGCUGCUAAAAUCUCUUGCAGGCUUCAACUUCAGCAAGGUUCUUUUCUCACUGACAAUCUUUCAUUAGCAAAGAUGGCUGCUUCAAGAGAUAUCAAUAACACCAACAUCAGCUGGAGGUGCAGACAACCAAUUAGCGAGUUCUUUCAAAUCUCUCAUUCUCUUAAUGCUGUUUAUCACAUCUCUAGGAAUACCAAUGGAAUUGCUCACAAUUGUGCUCAUCAGGUUCUCAACUCGAGAGUAGAACCUGUCUUUAGUUGUUCACGUUCCUCUCAUGCCAAUGUACCUUGCCCUUUUCUGCAGUCCCUUCUCAAUUUUCAAGUUUAG
Molecule: ribosomal RNA, 2184 nt
Filed under: Triticum aestivum (bread wheat)
Lineage: Eukaryota; Viridiplantae; Streptophyta; Magnoliopsida; Poales; Poaceae
Description: partial small subunit ribosomal RNA
Source: RNAcentral